UACGGGGGGGGCAAGCGUUGUUCGGAAUUACUGGGCGUAAAGGGCUCGUAGGCGGCCAACUAAGUCAUACGUGAAAUCCCUCAGCUUAACUGGGGAACUGCGUGUGAUACUGGAUGGCUUGGAUUUGGGAGAGGGAUGCGGAAUUCCAGGUGUAGCGGUGAAAUGCGUAGAUAUCUGGAGGAACACCGGUGGCGAAGGCGGCAUCCUGGACCAAGAUUGACGCUGAGGAGCGAAAGCUAGGGGAGCAAACGGG
This 253-nucleotide ribosomal RNA is filed under the name uncultured bacterium. Its description in RNAcentral is "partial 16S ribosomal RNA". It matches the Rfam family "Bacterial small subunit ribosomal RNA", at positions 524 to 776 of the family's 1533-position model. The record is from RNAcentral.